RNAcentral lists this ribosomal RNA (497 nucleotides) under uncultured bacterium. RNAcentral describes it as "partial 16S ribosomal RNA". It matches the Rfam family "Bacterial small subunit ribosomal RNA", at positions 28 to 507 of the family's 1533-position model. The record is from RNAcentral.
GACGAACGCUGGCGGCGUGCCUAAUACAUGCAAGUUGAGCGCUGAAGGUUGGUACUUGUACCAACUGGAUGAGCAGCGAACGGGUGAGUGACGCGUGGGGAAUCUGCCUUUGAGCGGGGGACAACAUUUGGAAACGAAUGCUAAUACCGCAUAAAAACUUUAAACACAAGUUUUAAGUUUGAAAGAUGCAAUUGCAUCACUCAAAGAUGAUCCCGCGUUGUAUUAGCUAGUUGGUGAGGUAAAGGCUCACCAAGGCGAUGAUACAUAGCCGACCUGAGAGGGUGAUCGGCCACAAUGGGACUGAGACACGGCCCAAAAUCCUACGGGAGGCAGCAGUAGGGAAUCUUCGGCAAUGGACGAAAGUCUGAACGAGCAACGCCGCGGGAGGGAAGAAGGUUGUCGGAUCGUAAAACUCUGUUGGUAGGGAAGAAAGUUGGUGAGAGUGGAAAGCUCAUCAAGUGACGGUAACUACCCAGAAAGGGACGGCUAACUACGUG